RNAcentral lists this ribosomal RNA (720 nucleotides) under uncultured archaeon. Its description in RNAcentral is "bacterial SSU rRNA". It matches the Rfam family "Archaeal small subunit ribosomal RNA", at positions 1 to 682 of the family's 1478-position model. The record is from RNAcentral.
UUCCGGUUGAUCCUGCCGGAGGCUACUGCUAUUGGAAUUCGAUUAAGCCAUGCGAGUUUAAAGGACUUCGGUCCUUGGCAGACGGCUCAGUAACACGUGGAGAACCUGCCCUCAGGAGGGGGAUAACCCCGGGAAACUGGGAAUAAUACCCCAUAGGUCUAGAAUGCUGGAAUGCUUCUAGGCUCAAAGCUCCGGCGCCUGAGGAUGGCUCUGCGGCUUAUCAGGUUGUAGUGAGAGUAACGUCCUCACUAGCCUAUGACGGGUACGGGCCCUGAGAGGGGAUGCCCGGAGAUGGACUCUGAGACACGAGUCCAGGCCCUACGGGGCGCAGCAGGCGCGAAAACUCCGCAAUGCUCGAAAGAGUGACGGGGGGAUUCCAAGUGCCUACGCUUAGCGUAGGCUGUUCAGAUGCCUAAAAAGCAUCUGGAGUAAGGGCUGGGUAAGACGGGUGCCAUCUGUGGCAGCAGCCGAAGAUUUGGCUUGUUGCUGCAAGGCAUAAGCCGCCGCGGUAAUACCCGCAGCCCGAGUGGUAGUCGAUUUUAUUGGGCCUAAAGCGUCCGUAUCCGGUCUGAUAAAUGCCUGGGUAAAUCGUCUGGCUUAACCAGACGAAUUCCGGGUAGACUGUCAGACUUGGGACCGGUUGAGGAAGAGGGUACUUUAGGGGUAGGAGUGAAAUCCUGUAAUCCUUGAAGGACCACCAGUGGCGAAGGCGCUCUUCUA